ACACGUGGGCAACCUGCCUGUAAGACUGGGAUAACUCCGGGAAACCGGAGCUAAUACCGGAUAGUAUCUUGAACCGCAUGGUUCAAGUUGGAAAGACGGUUUCGGCUGUCACUUACAGAUGGGCCCGCGGCGCAUUAGCUAGUUGGUGAGGUAAUGGCUCACCAAGGCAACGAUGCGUAGCCGACCUGAGAGGGUGAUCGGCCACACUGGGACUGAGACACGGCCCAGACUCCUACGGGAGGCAGCAGUAGGGAAUCUUCCGCAAUGGACGAAAGUCUGACGGAGCAACGCCGCGUGAGUGAUGAAGGUUUUCGGAUCGUAAAACUCUGUUGUUAGGGAAGAACAAGUGCGAGAGUAACUGCUCGCACCUUGACGGUACCUAACCAGAAAGCCACGGCUAACUACGUGCCAGCAGCCGCGGUAAUACGUAGGUGGCAAGCGUUGUCCGGAAUUAUUGGGCGUAAAGCGCGCGCAGGCGGUUUCUUAAGUCUGAUGUGAAAGCCCCCGGCUCAACCGGGGAGGGUCAUUGGAAACUGGGAAACUUGAGUGCAGAAGAGGAGAGUGGAAUUCCACGUGUAGCGGUGAAAUGCGUAGAGAUGUGGAGGAACACCAGUGGCGAAGGCGACUCUCUGGUCUGUAACUGACGCUGAGGCGCGAAAGCGUGGGGAGCGAACAGGAUUAGAUACC
Molecule: ribosomal RNA, 687 nt
Filed under: Bacillus sp. EC-HK5A
Lineage: Bacteria; Bacillati; Bacillota; Bacilli; Caryophanales; Bacillaceae
Description: bacterial SSU rRNA
Rfam family: Bacterial small subunit ribosomal RNA
Source: RNAcentral